UAUCUUCGGAUAAUAGUAAAGUGGCGAACGGGUGAGUAACGCGUAAAUAACUUGCCUUGGAGAUUGGGACAACAUUGGGAAACCAGUGCUAAUACCAAAUAAUGCAGCGGGCCCUUCGGGGCAUAGUUGUUAAAGUAGGCUUCGGCUUACACUUCAAGAUAGAUUUGCGUCCGAUUAGUUAGUUGGUAGGGUAAUAGCCUACCAAGACCGAGAUCGGUAGCUGGUCUGAGAGGAUGAUCAGCCACACUGGAAUUGAGAUACGGUCCAGACUCCUACGGGAGGCAGCAGUGAGGAAUUUUGCACAAUGGGCGAAAGCCUGAUGCAGCAACACCGCGUGAUUGAUGAAGUUUUUAGGAAUGUAAAAAUCUGUCGUAAGGGAAGAAAUGUUUCGGAUGUUAAUACCAUCUGUUACUGACGGUACCUUACAAGAAAGGACCGGCUAACUUCGUGCCAGCAGCCGCGGUAAUACGAGGGGUCCUAGCGUUGUCCGGAUUUACUGGGCGUAAAGGGUACGUAGGCGUUUUAAUAAGUUGUAUGUUAAAUAUCUUAGCUUAACUAAGAAGGUGCAUACAAAACUGUUAAGAUAGAGUUUGAGAGAGGAACGCAGAAUUCAUGGUGGAGCGGUGACAUGCGUAGAUAUCAUGAGGAAAGUCAAAUGCGAAGGCAGCCUUCUGGCUCAAAACUGACGCUGAGGUACGAAAGCGUGGGGAGCGAACAGGAUUAGAUACCCUGGUAGUCCACGCCGUAAACGAUGAGUAUUUGGUGCUGGGGGAUUCGACCCUUUCAGUGCCGUAGCUAACGCGAUAAAUAC
This 811-nucleotide ribosomal RNA is filed under the name Chlorobi bacterium SCGC AAA160-P03. RNAcentral's name for it is "bacterial SSU rRNA". It matches the Rfam family "Bacterial small subunit ribosomal RNA", at positions 75 to 867 of the family's 1533-position model. The record is from RNAcentral. Lineage: Bacteria; Pseudomonadati; Chlorobiota.